GAAUAUUGGACAAUGGGCGAAAGCCUGACCCAGCAACGCCGCGUGAAGGAUGAAGUAUUUCGGUAUGUAAACUUCGUAAGAAUGGGAAGAAUAAAUGACGGUACCAUUUGUAAGGUCCGGCUAACUACGUGCCGGCAGCCGCGGUAAUACGUAGGGACCAAGCGUUGUUCGGAUUUACUGGGCGUAAAGGGAGCGUAGGCGGCGCGUCAAGUCAGCUGUGAAAUCUUAAGGCUUAACCUUAAGCGGUCAGCUGAUACUGUCGUGCUAGAGUGCAGAAAGGGCAAUCGGAAUUCUUGGUGUAGCGGUGAAAUGCGUAGAUAUCAAGAGGAACACCUGAGGCGAAGGCGGGUUGCUAGGCUGACACUGACGCUGAGGCUCGAAAGCUAGGGGAGCAAACGGG
Molecule: ribosomal RNA, 400 nt
Filed under: uncultured bacterium
Lineage: Bacteria
Description: bacterial SSU rRNA
Rfam family: Bacterial small subunit ribosomal RNA
Source: RNAcentral